Molecule: ribosomal RNA, 305 nt
Filed under: uncultured bacterium
Lineage: Bacteria
Description: bacterial SSU rRNA
Rfam family: Bacterial small subunit ribosomal RNA
Source: RNAcentral
UUUUUCCUACGGGGGGCAGCAGUGGGGAAUAUUGGGCAAUGGGCGCAAGCCUGACCCAGCAACGCCGCGUGAAGGAAGAAGGCUUUCGGGUUGUAAACUUCUUUUAAGAGGGAAGAGUGGAAGACGGUACCUCUUGAAUAAGCCACGGCUAACUACGUGCCAGCAGCCGCGGUAAUACGUAGGUGGCAAGCGUUGUCCGGAUUUACUGGGUGUAAAGGGCGUGUAGCUGGGUUGACAAGUCAGAGGUGAAAUCCUGCGGCUUAACCGCAGAACUGCAUUUGAAACUGUUGAUCUUGAGUACUGGA